AACCCUUGUCCUUAGUUACCAGCACGUUAUGGUGGGCACUCUAAGGAGGACUGCCGGUGGACAAACCGGAGGAAGUGGGGGAUGACGUCAAGUCAUCAUGGCCCUUACGGCCUGGGCUACACACGUGCUACAAUGGUCGGUACAAAGGGUUGCCAAGCCGCGAGGUGGAGCUAAUCCCAUAAAACCGAUCGUAGUCCGGAUCGCAGUCUGCAACUCGACUGCGUGAAGUCGGAAUCGCUAGUAAUCGUGAAUCAGAAUGUCACGGUGAAUACGUUCCCGGGCCUU
RNAcentral lists this ribosomal RNA (285 nucleotides) under uncultured Pseudomonas sp. RNAcentral describes it as "partial 16S ribosomal RNA". It matches the Rfam family "Bacterial small subunit ribosomal RNA", at positions 1100 to 1382 of the family's 1533-position model. Lineage: Bacteria; Pseudomonadati; Pseudomonadota; Gammaproteobacteria; Pseudomonadales; Pseudomonadaceae. The record is from RNAcentral.